Molecule: ribosomal RNA, 490 nt
Filed under: uncultured bacterium
Lineage: Bacteria
Description: partial 16S ribosomal RNA
Rfam family: Bacterial small subunit ribosomal RNA
Source: RNAcentral
AUUGAACGCUGGCGGCAGGCCUAACACAUGCAAGUCGAACGGUAACAGGAAGAAGCUUGCUUCUUUGCUGACGAGUGGCGGACGGGUGAGUAAUGUCUGGGAAACUUCCUGAUGUAGGGGGAUAACUACUGGAAACGGUAGCUAAUACCGCAUAACGUCGCAAGCCCAAAAAGGGUGACCUUCGGGCCUCUUGCCAUCGUAUGUGCCCAGAUGGGAUUAGCUAGUAGGUGGGGUAACGGCUCACCUAGGCGACGAUCCCUAGCUGGUCUGAGAGGAUGACCAGCCACACUGGAACUGAGACAAGGUCCAGACUCCUACGGGAGGCAGCAGUGGGGAAUAUUGCACAAUGGGCGCAAGCCUGAUGCAGCCAUGCCGCGUGUAUGAAGAAGGCCUUCGGGUUGUAAAGUACUUUCAGCGGGGAGGAAGGGAGUAAAGUUAAUACCUUUGCUCAUUGACGUUACCCGCAGAAGAAGCACCGGCUAACUCCGUG